RNAcentral lists this ribosomal RNA (460 nucleotides) under uncultured bacterium. RNAcentral describes it as "partial 16S ribosomal RNA". It matches the Rfam family "Bacterial small subunit ribosomal RNA", at positions 338 to 795 of the family's 1533-position model. The record is from RNAcentral.
CCUACGGGUGGCAGCAGUGAGGAAUAUUGGUCAAUGGACGAGAGUCUGAACCAGCCAAGUAGCGUGAAGGAUGACUGCCCUAUGGGUUGUAAACUUCUUUUAUAUGGGAAUAAAAUGUUCCACGUGUGGGCUUUUGUAUGUACCAUAUGAAUAAGGAUCGGCUAACUCCGUGCCCGCAGCCGCGGUAAUACGGAGGAUCCGAGCGUUAUCCGGGUUUAUUGGGUUUAAAGGGUGCGUAGGUGGAUUGUUAAGUCAGUUGUGAAAGUUUGCGGCUCAACCGUAAAAUUGCAGUUGAAACUGGCAGUCUUGAGUACAGUAGAGGUGGGCGGAAUUCGUGGUGUAGCGGUGAAAUGCUUAGAUAUCACGAAGAACUCCGAUUGCGAAGGCAGCACACUGGACUGCAACUGACACUGAGGCUCGAAAGUGUGGGUAUCGAACAGGAUUAGAUACCCCAGUAGUC